Molecule: ribosomal RNA, 497 nt
Filed under: uncultured bacterium
Lineage: Bacteria
Description: partial 16S ribosomal RNA
Rfam family: Bacterial small subunit ribosomal RNA
Source: RNAcentral
GAUGAACGCUGGCGGCGUGCCUAAUACAUGCAAGUCGAGCGAACAGACGAGGAGCUUGCUCCUCUGACGUUAGCGGCGGACGGGUGAGUAACACGUGGAUAACCUACCUAUAAGACUGGGAUAACUUCGGGAAACCGGAGCUAAUACCGGAUAAUAUAUUGAACCGCAUGGUUCAAUAGUGAAAGACGGUUUUGCUGUCACUUAUAGAUGGAUCCGCGCCGCAUUAGCUAGUUGGUAAGGUAACGGCUUACCAAGGCGACGAUGCGUAGCCGACCUGAGAGCGUGAGCGGCCAGACGGGAACUGAGGGAAGGGUCAGACUCCUGCGGGAGGCAGCAGUAGGGAAUCUUGCGGAAUGGGCGAAAGCUUGAAGGAGAAAAGAAGCGUGAGUGAUGAAGGACUUCGGAUCGUAAAACUUUGUUAUUAGGGAAGAACAAAUGUGUAAGUAACUAUGCACAUCUUGACGGUACCUAAUCAGAAAACCACGGCUAACUACGUG